This is a non-coding RNA of Heterocephalus glaber (naked mole-rat), 1007 nucleotides long. Lineage: Eukaryota; Metazoa; Chordata; Mammalia; Rodentia; Bathyergidae. The record is from RefSeq and is a predicted model, not a curated record.
UGUUACCUUUGUUUAGUAAAUGUGUUUUAAAGAAAUUUCAGGAUAGUAUUUGUGCUUAUAGUCCAAUGUUUUGAGGUUCUGGGUUAUAGGUCUGAUAUUUUACUUAAUUUUAAUAUUGAAAUACUUUAGAAUAUUUUAGAAUACUUUAAUACUGAUUCUAAUUCUAAUCCUGUCUUCUUCAUAAGUGAGCCCUAUGUUUGACCAAAAAGAUGUGGGGUUUUUUGGUGCUGAGUUUCAUUUCUGGUACAAGAAAAUGAAAUGAAAAUAAAAAUAAGCUUAACACUAGGCUUAGAUAAUCUUAAAUGUGAAAUAUGGAAUUUUCAUAAGAUGUCUUUCCUAAAAGUAAGUGCUUAAGCAGUACUUAUUUAAAUAAUAGAAUUCUGUGGCCACUGACUAACACUUUUACAAUAGGUUGAGGUUCCUUGGCUAUAAGGACUUUUAAGCAUUUUUUAACCACUUGUAAAAAAAAAAAAGAAUUACUUUGUGGGAAGAAAUAGAGAUAAAGAAUAUGGGAGGAAACUGGUCUGUCCCUUGAGCCAAGUGAUUUUUGUUUAUCUUUUCUCAUCUUCUAGGUCUGAAAAUUUUUUUUUGGUACCGGGGAUUGAACUCUGGACCUUGUGCUUGCGAGGCAGGUCUGAAUUUUAACAUUUCCUUCAGGAAUCCUUUUUGCUCUUUUUGUUUUAUCGUUGCACUAGGGAUUAAACUCAGAACUCAGGCCCUCAUGCAUAUCUAGGGAUUGGAUGCAGGGCCUUGUGCAUGCUAGGCAAGUGCUUUACCACUGAACUACAUCCCCAGCCCUUUUUAUUGUAUCUUGAGACAGAGUCUUGCUAAGUUGCCCAUGCUGGCCUCCAGCUGUGAUCCUUCUACUUAAGAGACCUGUAUUUUUAAGGAAAUAAGGUGUAUGAUUUCUUCCAAAUGAGAAAAAAAGUUGGGAGAUGUCUGUGACUCUUGGUUAUGUAGUACUUUUAUCUAGUUUGUAUAUUUACCCUAUUAAAGAUACAAAUAUU